Molecule: ribosomal RNA, 252 nt
Filed under: uncultured Glomeromycotina
Lineage: Eukaryota; Fungi; Glomeromycota
Description: partial large subunit ribosomal RNA
Source: RNAcentral
CAGUCGUACUAACGGGGAAUCAACCUUUUGAGGGUGGACUUGUGGGAUUCAGAGUGCCUUUGUUUUUCACAACCGGUCUUUUUUGUGUGUACUUUCUCGUAUUGUAGGUCAACAUCGGCUUCAACCGUUAUAAAAUGACUGGAGGAAUGUAGCUUCGAUCUCGUAUUGAAGUGUUAUAGCCUCUGGUAGAUGGUAACGGGAGGGAUCGAGGAUUGCAAUGAAUACCCUCAUGGGCUAUCCGCCUGGCCUCUG